AUUGAACGCUGGCGGCAUGCCUUACACAUGCAAGUCGAACGGCAGCAUGGAGGAGCUUGCUCCUCUGAUGGCGAGUGGCGAACGGGUGAGUAAAGCAUCGGAACGUGCCGUGUAGUGGGGGAUAACGUAGCGAAAGUUACGCUAAUACCGCAUACGCACCGAGGUGGAAAGCAGGGGAUCGCAAGACCUUGCGCUAUACGAGCGGCCGAUGUCAGAUUAGCUAGUUGGUAGGGUAAAGGCCUACCAAGGCGACGAUCUGUAGCGGGUCUGAGAGGAUGAUCCGCCACACUGGGACUGAGACACGGCCCAGACUCCUACGGGAGGCAGCAGUGGGGAAUUUUGGACAAUGGGGGAAACCCUGAUCCAGCCAUGCCGCGUGAGUGAAGAAGGCCUCGGGUUGUAAGCUCUUCGGCUGGGAGCGUCACUGACGGUACCGUAAGAAUAAGCACCGGCUAACUACGUG
Molecule: ribosomal RNA, 463 nt
Filed under: uncultured bacterium
Lineage: Bacteria
Description: bacterial SSU rRNA
Rfam family: Bacterial small subunit ribosomal RNA
Source: RNAcentral